RNAcentral lists this small RNA (809 nucleotides) under Pongo abelii (Sumatran orangutan). Its description in RNAcentral is "retained intron". The record is from RNAcentral. Lineage: Eukaryota; Metazoa; Chordata; Mammalia; Primates; Hominidae.
UUAUAUACUGGUACGAUAAUAAAUAUAAAUCUAGGAAUAUUUUAAAAAAGGAUAAGAACAGUUUUCUGAUUUUUUUUUUUUAGGGGUAAAAAUACACAAAACAGAAGAUUUCAUUCAGGUGAUUGAAAAGACAGGGAAGUCUUACACUUUAAAAAGUGAAAGUGAAGUUAAUAGCUUGAAAGAGGAGAUAAAAAUGUAUAUGGACCAUGCUAAUGAGGGUCAUCGUAUUUGUUUAGCACUGGAAUCCAUAAUUUCAGAAGAGGAAAGGAAAACUAGGAGUGCUCCCUUUUUCCCAAUAAUCAUAGGAAGAAAACCUGGUAGUACUAGUUCACCUAAGGCCUUAUCACCUCCUCCUUCUGUGGAUUCAAAUUACCCAACAAGAGACAGAGCAUCUUUCAAUAGAAUGGUCAUGCAUAGUGCUGCUUCUCCAACACAGGCACCAAUCCUUAAUCCCUCUAUGGUUACAAAUGAAGGACUUGGUCUUACAACUACAGCUUCUGGAACAGACAUCUCUUCUAAUAGUCUAAAAGAUUGUCUUCCUAAAUCAGCACAACUUUUGAAAUCUGUUUUUGUGAAAAAUGUUGGUUGGGCUACACAGUUAACUAGUGGAGCUGUGUGGGUUCAGUUUAAUGAUGGGUCCCAGUUGGUUGUGCAGGCAGGAGUGUCUUCUAUCAGUUAUACCUCACCAAAUGGUCAAACAACUAGGUAUGGAGAAAAUGAAAAAUUACCAGAAUACAUCAAACAGAAAUUACAGUGUCUGUCUUCCAUCCUUUUGAUGUUUUCUAAUCCGACUCCUAAUUUUCACUGAU